Molecule: ribosomal RNA, 187 nt
Filed under: Racelda sp. CW-2009
Lineage: Eukaryota; Metazoa; Arthropoda; Insecta; Hemiptera; Reduviidae
Description: partial 28S ribosomal RNA
Rfam family: Eukaryotic large subunit ribosomal RNA
Source: RNAcentral
GCUUGCGCUCAUUAGAACAGAGUCUCAUCCGGUAGAGCGAAUGAUUAGAGGCAUUGGGGUCGAAACGACCUCAACCUAUUCUCAAACUCCAAAUAGAUGAGAACAUCGGCUUUCUUAAAAUGAAGCCGAGAAAAAUGGAUCAGAGUGCAAAGUGGGCCAAUUUUGGUAAGCAGAACUGGCGCUGUGG